Long non-coding RNA from Thalassophryne amazonica, 221 nucleotides. RefSeq lists it as uncharacterized. NCBI's taxonomy places the organism in Eukaryota, Metazoa, Chordata, Actinopteri, Batrachoidiformes, Batrachoididae. The record is from RefSeq and is a predicted model, not a curated record. The transcript has 3 exons.
AAACCUGGGGUUAGAGUUUACAAAAUAACUAACACGUUGCCCGUGGGGACCCACGGGCUCUGGAUUGGGUAGUGUUUAAAAAAUAGGUAGCUGACAUUUUUCAGGGGGGUAAUAAAUUAUGCAAAGCUCCUAUAAUGAUUUAGAAUGGCGUGCGACCCCAGAAUGUAAUUAUCAAUGUCCAUCAUUCACUGUUGUUAGCUAAUAUCUGUAAUUUCUCCAAA